Molecule: non-coding RNA, 73 nt
Organism: Stegodyphus mimosarum
Lineage: Eukaryota; Metazoa; Arthropoda; Arachnida; Araneae; Eresidae
Source: Rfam
GCCUUCGUGGUGUAGUUGUCAGCACGCUCGACGCGAAUUCGAGAGGUUCCUGGUUCGAGUCCCGGCGAGGGCA